Molecule: non-coding RNA, 113 nt
Organism: Acanthosepion pharaonis
Lineage: Eukaryota; Metazoa; Mollusca; Cephalopoda; Sepiida; Sepiidae
Source: the annotation of a GenBank genome assembly
UACGGCUAUAUUGCGUUGAAACAGCUUUUCUCGUCAGAUCACCGAAGUUAAGCAACGUUGGGUCUGGUCAGUACCUAAAUGGGCGAUCGCUAGAGAAUACCAGUUGCUGUAAG